Molecule: ribosomal RNA, 223 nt
Filed under: uncultured bacterium
Lineage: Bacteria
Description: partial 16S ribosomal RNA
Rfam family: Bacterial small subunit ribosomal RNA
Source: RNAcentral
UAAUGUCUGGGAAACGUGCCUGAUGGAGGGGGAUAACUAACUGGAAACGGUAGCUAAUACCGCAUAAUGUCGCAAGACCAAAGUGGGGGACCGUUCGGGCCUCAUGCCAUCAGAUGUGCCCAGAUGGGAUUAGCUAGUAGGUGGGGUAAUGGCUCACCUAGGCGACGAUCCCUAGCUGGUCUGAGAGGAUGACCAGCCACACUGGAACUGAGACACGGUCCAG